This is a long non-coding RNA of Aegilops tauschii subsp. strangulata, 697 nucleotides long. RefSeq lists it as uncharacterized. Lineage: Eukaryota; Viridiplantae; Streptophyta; Magnoliopsida; Poales; Poaceae. The record is from RefSeq and is a predicted model, not a curated record.
UUGUCCCUUCCCCUCUCUCGUUCCCUUUGUCAUUUCCCACACGCAACCGAACAGAGUCGAGAGAGAGAGGGAGAGAGGGAUCCAUGGCGACUUGGAGCUCUCCUAUCCGGCCGCUUAGUUCACUAGGGUGGUCGUCAGGCGUCCGACGUUCUUCCUCCAGCUGCCCCCGCACGGAAGUCUGCAGCAUCUCUCGGGCACCGCGCCCACCUGGCCCCCAAUUUUUCCCCGCCGGCAUUUCUGGUUUGAUCCUGUGAUUUGAAAAUUAAGGAUUCAUAAACACCAUGUUGAUAUGAGGGAAUGCUGCAGUUGGAUUGAUGUACUUGACAGAAGCAUCAGGGAGAGAGGUGAUUUAGGGAGGGCACCUGACAUGUGAUUAUUCCAUAGUGUAAAUUAGACUGGUCGUUUCAGUAACUUCAUUUUUUUACAUGUGAGAAUAGUGUCAGUGGCUGCACUUCCUAGUUUAGUUCAGGUGUUCGCUUUUACUGUAGUCUUCCUUACGCUUUUGUAUUUGGGCCUCAUGACGUUGUUAUAAGGAAGAGACUUGAUGGAGACAACGUGCAUACAUUCAGGAGAGUGGUGUACAGUGGACAGGAACUCUUGUCAAGUUGUAAUUGGUUGAAAAAAACGACUGAACUCCAAUUGGUUUUCAUCCGGCUGUAAAGUAGACAGCCUAAUAAUAUUGAUUUUCUAUUGUGGA